AUCACAAAGCCAAGCGUACUAAACGGCAAAUGACGGGAAUUUCGCUAACCACCUAAACUGAAAAUGGCGCUACAAAUCCACUUACCUUCUCCUCUCGCCAAAAAAUCUUAUCAUCAUCUUCUCCAAGCUCCUCUCCUUCUAUGUCGAUCCAGACCCAAAUUCACAAUCCAAUCCCAAAAGACCACCUCCAACACCGAAUCCACUAACGAGUCACCAGUCCCCAAGAAGUCCACUUCGCCUGGGCUAGGGUUCGGGACACCAUCUUCUGUAGCUCCAACCAAGUCAAGUUCAACUAAGGCUGGUCCUAGUACUGUGAGUACUAAGAGGAAGCAGAGGGAUAAAAGGGAGAGGGCCUCCAUAAUUAGGCGGACACCGGUUGAGAAACCAGCAUUUGUAAGCCAAGAGGACGAGGCUAAAGCUAAGGAGCAGAGUAAGAAUGAGAGUGCCUUUCUUCUUGCUUGGUUGGGCCUUGGUGGGAUCAUUCUUGUAGAGGGCAUUGUGCUUGCUGCAUCAGGAUUCCUACCUGACAAAUGGGAUAAAUUUUUUGUGAAGUAUCUGUAUCCGUCUUUCACCCCUACAGUUGCCUUGUUUGUUGCUGGAACUGUUGCAUAUGGAGUGUUGAAGUAUCUGCAGAAUGAGGAACUUAAAGACCAAAAAUAAUGCUUUCUGAAUAUAUACAUCUGUUUCCAGAAUGUGAGAAGUCGUGGAAAGGUUAAUCUGAGCUCUUAGUGAUGUUGGUCUCAGAGAACCUCUGCCUUUGUAGCCAGAUAGAAGCUCAGUUCUACAUUUGGAAGUUCGUUGUUAAGAGAUUAAUGAGAUGAUUAUUGGCAGAACGAGCACUGAUUCCACCAGUUUGAGAAAAUCUGAGGAAGAUGUAAUUAGAGUUGUAGUCUCUUGAAGUAUGAAAAAGUUUCUGUGAUUUGAUUUUGCACAUCAAACAUGUGCUACUAGAUAGAGUUAAGCAUUAAAGCCCCUCAUAUAGAGUUUACAAUUAUGAGCAUAUGCAUUUAAAGCUCUAUUAUGCCUAAUGGCUCAGGAUGACGCCUUUUGGCACCUUAUGGCGCUAAUUGAUUACUGUAGCCAGUGCAGCUGGAGCCUUAUCUAUAAAUCCUGAAAAGUUGAGUGGUUUUUGUUACUUUAACCUCAGUGAUCAAGUUUUACUUUCCUUUUAUUCAUUUUUAUGUUGUAGGAGAAAUCAUCUGAAGUCAUAUUGUGGUGUCCCUCCAGGUAUGGGAUAGCCAUCUUUUUGGACCACCAAAAAUCAUUUAGUUUACCGCGUAGUUGGUUUAAGAUUUGCAAAUGAAUUCAAUGCAAGCACUUUUGUGUCGCUUCACCAAAUUUGUGUGAAAAAUAGAUGACAUGAUCUCUAGAGGCCCCUCUUUUAAUUAUUGUCUCCUCCUUUGCACAUCUUCCCUUUUCAAUGAUAAUCAAUUUGCACCAACUCUUUAUUUCUUUUUCUUCUCUUUCCUUCCCUCUCCGCUCUUCCUCUUCUUUCUUUUAUUUUUCUUUUUUCUCUUCUCAUUGAUAUCAAUUGAACAAUUACUCCAUGUCCAUGACCAUGAUGUGGGUAGGAAAUUCUUUACUUUCUUCUGUCUUGAUCAUCAUUUAUUCUUUGUGUGUAAUUGAUAGUGAUCCCUUCUUUCUAGUUAAUUUUUAUCUCUGGAGAGAGCAAGAGACAAAGCUAACAAGAAGUUACAGCUAGCUGGCUACAGCCUAUAGACAGCUAGCUCUUCCUUUCUAAUUGAUUCUUUGGAUUGAUUAUUUGGUGUAAUUGAAGUUAUAACCAAGGCCAAAUGCCAAAAACUGCAUAAAUGGGAAAGGUGAGCUUAUAAGCAAUGGUCUUAGCAACUUCUAUGCAUGGAAGCAUCAUAUCCCGGCAAGAAUACAUGUUACUGUAUGCACUUAAUGCCUGUAAAUAAAUGGACUAAAAUUAGGGGGUUUUCUCUUCUUUUUUUCGUGUUUAAAUAACAAAUUGAGGAAGACCAGAGAAAGGACAAAGGAAGGAUGUUUAAAAGCACUGUAGGUCUUGGUAGGUCAAAAAGUUAAAAAGUGUUCAGGUGCCGCUCUACCAAUUUUCCACUAAUUCUGAAUUCUUAAGUGAGCGUUUAUAUAGCUAUGGUUGAAGAAAUUGACCUCUAAAUCUAAUAGUUUCACUAUUGGGCAUGGAUUGAGACGACGGAGAUGCUGAAUAUUUUAUUAUCCUUUGCCCCAAAGACAGUGGGUUCCAACUUACUAGAGAGUCAAAUUAACCCAUUUCAUGCUCGAGUCAAAUUAACUCAUUUCAUGCUAGCGUCAAAACAUUGUUGACAAAACGAGAAACCAGCCAGCCGGUUCCCAAAUUUUCAUCAAUUUUACAAUAUUUGAUUUAGGUAAAGAAAUAUUCAUGCAUUUCAUGCCAUUGGUUUGAUUCUACGUUUUUCUGCUAUAUAUAAGGCUUAAAAGAGAUGGUAACACGUAGUCAAAUAGUUUAAUUCAGGGAAAGUUAAUGGCUCUGAUUGGGUGGAAUGACAGUUAAUAGAAUUUGUCUUUCUGCUUCAUGGUGGUUGAGAUUAUUUUAAUUGAUUUAGAGUUUUUUAAUUUGAAAUGGUUAAAAAUCGGUCUCCAGAGAUGAUUAUCUCUAGUUCGUUAAGGAUAUUAAUAUUAUGACCAUGCUAGAACGUUCUGACAAAUAUUCUUUCAAAUUGGACGAUAAUGUACCGUAGUAAAUGUGUCAAGCGACUCAUUAAUGGUAAACUAUUAAUUAAUAAAUGUUGAGCCGCUUUAUCUAUAUUCUAUCCAUCAUGUGCGUUUUUUCUAUCAGUUCUACUGUACGCGUAAUUAUAAUUCUAUGGAGGUUCUGUGCACUUUGAAGUGCUCAAUCUGCAAGUUCCGAGUAUAGACGAGGUCGGCUCGUCUAUUCCAAGCAUGGAUAUUGUUGGAAGUAUAAGAGAACUGAUCUACACACUUUAUUAGAUGUGUUUUCUAUAGUUCAGUCAGAUCGAAGUCCUAAUUUGAAAAUUCUGCUUAGCUUAUACACAUGGCAUGAUCUCAACAAAAUCUAUCAUUAUUAUGUUAUUACCUUCCAUGCUCUCUUUGAUUCAGGUUUCAAUUUCAAAUAGAGAAAUCCUUAUUAGCAUAAGAAUUAAGGUUCGUCCCUACGAUUUUGAUUGUUUCUCUAUAUAUAAAUAUUCUCAAAAGCUUACAUCAAUUCUCUUCUAUAGCGUUGUCUUCUUUUUUCCAUGUAUUUAUACACAAAUUGGAAAUUGAAUUAUUGAAUUGCAUUUCGAUAUCGUUCAUUGUAAUUGCAUUUUCUUUUUUUACACUCCUUUACAGCCAAAGAUCCAUCUAUGUGAGCUUAUCAAAAUAUAAAGCAAAGAGUUAUGGUAAUUUUCGGUAGAAAACUCCAGAGAACCUUUUGCUUAUUUUUGGUUAGGAUAGAUUCCUUUAAAUUCGAGUAGGUGGCAAAGUAAGUGUGGCUUAUUCAGGAAAAGCAGGGGGGAAAAGCAUCCAAAAAAUUAUUAUUUCAAAGGAGGAAGAGGCCAAAUCAUUCCACAAAAUUUAUUAAAAAUUAGGAAAGAAAGCAAUAGGGAUGGGUCCCUUGGCUUAGAUGCAUCUAAAACCCACAGCUUGUUGACAAUGACUCCUGUUGCAAAUACUAAAUGCUUUUACCUUGUUACUAUCAUAGAAAAAUUAAGAUAAUUUCCAGUGUCAAAAUCAAUUUUUGCAAAGGGUAGCAACCAAUUAAAAACAUUUGUCUGCCUUGACAGGCGCAACCUUACACACCAAUCUAAGCUUAUAAUAUAAUUUAAGCGGCUUAUAAUUGCCAAAGUUGUUUAAUCUAAAUGGUUAAGGCAUGUUUUUAGACAUUAUUCAGGAACAGAGAUCAAAUCACUUUUCUCAUGGUUACCCUUCAAUAGGUCUUGAAAAAUACUACAAGUAUUGUGUCAAAAAAAAAUCUAAGCUUAUAAUCAAGGGAGAAUUAAUUACCGUUGAUGGUAAUUGAUGAUACCGUAAGCCUGUCGAAGAACUAACAGAGUUUAGAAAUUUGUCCGCCUACUUGCUGCAACAUUCACAAUUAAUAUCGCCAUGCUGUUGGCGAUCCAAAAUUUGACAACUCGCAGUGGCACAAGACAUAAAACUCACUGUUAAAUUAAGCACCUUCGGCUUCCUCUUCAGAUGCUAAAGUGCAGUACAGUGCUCUCACUCUCAUGCCCUGUCCCAAUUAAUGAAUAUUGUCCGAAGAUAUUUCUAUUUUCUGACGCAGCACCUCAUCAUCAAGAUAUUUUUUUUAUUUACAAACAGUAAACAAAAAAUAAUAUAUUAUUACACAUUUUUAACGACCUCGGCCAAAAUAUGCAUUCCACAAAACCACCCACAAACCCAAACAAAUAUAAAAAUCAUAGAAACCCCAAAACUACAAAUUACAAAAACCAAACUCAUCUACUGAUCCAGUGCAUUAGGGCCAGUGCAGUAACUGACCACAUGAUUCCACAACCACUGAACCAAGUACCUCCGCC
Manihot esculenta (cassava) is the source of this 4496-nucleotide RNA transcript. It is a transcript of the gene named protein LPA2, with no coding region annotated. The record is from RefSeq and is a predicted model, not a curated record. The transcript is spliced from 4 exons. NCBI's taxonomy places the organism in Eukaryota, Viridiplantae, Streptophyta, Magnoliopsida, Malpighiales, Euphorbiaceae.